CGACCUGGCUCACACCGGUUUAAACUCAGAUCAUGUAAAAUUUUAAAGGUCGAACAGACCUAAUCCUAUUAGCUUCUUCACCAAUAAUAUAUUUUAAUCCAACAUCGAGGUCGCAAUCUUUCUUUUCAAUAAGAACUCUAGAAAARAUUACGCUGUUAUCCCUAAGGUAUUUUUUCUUCUAAUCUUUAACUAAGGAUCAAAUAAUCACAAAUCAAUGUUCAAAUAAAAAAAGAGUUUUAUARAUUUUUUAAUCGCCCCAACAAAAUAUUAAURCUUAUUARRCUCUUUCUGUUUCUUCUGAUARAUURAUURAUURAUUAUUAAUAUAARACUCUAUAGGGUCUUCUCGUCUUCCAUUUGUAUUUAAGCUUUUUCRCUUAARRAUAARAUUCUAAUARAUUUUUACAGAGACAGAGAUUUCUUUAUCAAACCCUUCAUACAAGCUUUCRAUUAAAAAACUAAKGAUUAUGCUACCUUUGCACAGUCAAUAUACUGCGGCCAUUUAAAUAUAAUUCAUKGGCAGKUCAG
Molecule: ribosomal RNA, 528 nt
Filed under: Trigonopterus vandekampi
Lineage: Eukaryota; Metazoa; Arthropoda; Insecta; Coleoptera; Curculionidae
Description: partial 16S ribosomal RNA
Source: RNAcentral